UGGGGAAUCUUGCACAAUGCGCGAAAGCGUGAUGCAGCAACGCCGCGUGGGGGAAGACGGCCUUCGGGUUGUAAACCCCUUUCAGUUGGGACGAAGCUUCGUCGGUGAAUAGCCGACUGGAGUGACGGUACCUUCAGAAGAAGCCCCGGCUAACUACGUGCCAGCAGCCGCGGUAAUACGUAGGGGGCAAGCGUUGUCCGGAAUCAUUGGGCGUAAAGCGCGUGUAGGCGGCUCGAUAAGUCUGCUGUGAAAGUCCAAGGCUCAACCUUGGGAUGCCGGUGGAUACUGUCGAGCUCGAGUCCGGAAGAGGCGAGUGGAAUUCCUGGUGUAGCGGUGAAAUGCGCAGAUAUCAGGAGGAACACCAAUGGCGAAGGCAGCUCGCUGGGACGUGACUGACGCUGAGACGCGAAAGCGUGGGGAGCAAACAGG
RNAcentral lists this ribosomal RNA (429 nucleotides) under uncultured prokaryote. Its description in RNAcentral is "bacterial SSU rRNA". It matches the Rfam family "Bacterial small subunit ribosomal RNA", at positions 355 to 776 of the family's 1533-position model. RNAcentral also lists the same sequence under 1 other name. The record is from RNAcentral.